CUGCUGCUCACGUUUACACUAUAGAUGCAAGAAAAAACUGUCCUCAUGCUUUCUGGCUGUCUGACUGUGGCAGCCCAGAUUGAAUGAGGGAGUACAGGG
This 99-nucleotide small nucleolar RNA is filed under the name Sus scrofa (pig). RNAcentral describes it as "Small nucleolar RNA SNORA31 (ENSSSCG00070023631.1)". It matches the Rfam family "Small nucleolar RNA SNORA31", at positions 35 to 130 of the family's 130-position model. From Rfam's summary of the family: ACA31 (SNORA31) belongs to the H/ACA class of snoRNAs which are thought to guide the sites of modification of uridines to pseudouridines. ACA31 is predicted to guide the pseudouridylation of U3713 in 28S rRNA and U218 in 18S rRNA. Lineage: Eukaryota; Metazoa; Chordata; Mammalia; Artiodactyla; Suidae. The record is from RNAcentral.